UAGUCUGGGAUACCACUUGGAAACAAGGUGCUAAUACCGGAUAAGAAAGCGGAUCGCAUGAUCAGCUUUUAAAAGGCGGCGUAAGCUGUCGCUAUGGGAUGGCCCCGCGGUGCAUUAGCUAGUUGGUAAGGUAAAGGCUUACCAAGGCGAUGAUGCAUAGCCGAGUUGAGAGACUGAUCGGCCACAUUGGGACUGAGACACGGCCCAAACUCCUACGGGAGGCAGCAGU
Molecule: ribosomal RNA, 229 nt
Filed under: uncultured Lactobacillus sp.
Lineage: Bacteria; Bacillati; Bacillota; Bacilli; Lactobacillales; Lactobacillaceae
Description: partial 16S ribosomal RNA
Rfam family: Bacterial small subunit ribosomal RNA
Source: RNAcentral